UACGGAGGUGGCAAGCGUUGCUCGGAAUCACUGGGCGUAAAGGGCGCGUAGGCGGGGAGGUAAGUCGGGUGUGAAAUCCCUCGGCUCAACCGAGGAACUGCGCCCGAGACUGCUUCUCUUGAGUCCCGGAGAGGAAGGUGGAAUUCCCGGUGUAGCGGUGAAAUGUGUAGAGAUCGGGAGGAACACCGGUGGCGAAGGCGGCCUUCUGGACGGUGACUGACGCUGAGGCGCGAAAGCGUGGGGAGCAAACAGG
This 253-nucleotide ribosomal RNA is filed under the name uncultured bacterium. Its description in RNAcentral is "partial 16S ribosomal RNA". It matches the Rfam family "Bacterial small subunit ribosomal RNA", at positions 524 to 776 of the family's 1533-position model. The record is from RNAcentral.